AUGGUGGGGAUGAGCGGCGCCUAUGGCGGCCACAGCAAUGGUGGCGAGAGCCGGGCGCCCAACGAGGCAGUGGUAGUCAGGGCGCCCAAGGAGGCCGUGGUAGUGGGGGCGCCGCCGUCGGAGAUGGAGAUGGCGGGGGCGAUGGGGGUGGUGCACAAGGUGGCGGCGCAGCCGGCGCAGAGCACGGCGAGCAAGAUGAAGGGCAAGGUGAAGGAGACCUUCUUCCCCGACGACCCGUUCCGGAGCUUCAAGGGGCAGCCGCUGCGGGCGCAGUGGGUGCUGGCGGCCAGGUACCUGUUCCCGGUGCUGGAGUGGUUGCCCGGCUACUCGCUGUCCCUCUUCAAGUCCGACCUCGUCGCCGGCCUCACCAUUGCCAGCCUCGCCAUCCCCCAGGGCAUCAGCUACGCCAAGCUUGCGAACCUGCCGCCGAUCAUAGGCCUGUAUUCGAGCUUCGUGCCGCCGCUGGUGUACGCGGUGCUGGGGAGCUCGCGGGACCUGGCGGUGGGGCCGGUGUCGAUCGCGUCGCUGAUCAUGGGGUCGAUGCUGCGGCAGGCGGUGAGCCCGUCGGCGGAGCCGAUGCUGUUCCUGCAGCUGGCCUUCACGUCCACCUUCUUCGCCGGCCUCGUGCAGGCCUCGCUCGGCAUCCUCAGGCUGGGGUUCAUCAUCGAUUUUCUGUCCAAGGCGACGCUGGUGGGGUUCAUGGCGGGCGCGGCCAUCAUCGUGUCGCUGCAGCAGCUCAAGGCGCUGCUGGGCAUCGUGCACUUCACCACCCAGAUGGGCAUCGUCCCCGUCAUGGCCUCCGUCUUCCAGCACACAAACGAGUGGUCGUGGCAGACGAUGCUGAUGGGCGCCUGCUUCCUGGUGCUCCUGCUCGCGGCCAGGCAUGUGAGCAUCAGAUGGCCAAAGUUCUUCUGGAUCUCAGCGUGUGCUCCCUUGGCAUCCGUCAUCGUAUCCACCCUUCUCGUCUUCCUGUUCAAAGCACAGAACCAUGGCAUCAGCAUUAUUGGUUCGCUCAAAUGUGGCCUGAAUCGCCCCUCAUGGGACAAACUGCUCUUCGACCCGACAUAUCUUGGACUCACCAUGAAGACUGGACUCGUCACCGGAAUCAUCUCCCUUACGGAAGGAGUAGCAGUCGGUAGGACGUUUGCUUCACUCAAGGACUACCAGGUGGACGGAAACAAAGAGAUGAUGGCCAUCGGGUUGAUGAACAUUGUGGGCUCAUGCACAUCGUGCUAUGUGACAACAGGAGCAUUCUCUCGCUCUGCUGUGAACCACAAUGCCGGCUGCAAGACCGCCAUGUCCAAUGUGGUCAUGGCGCUGACGGUCAUGGUCACGCUGCUGUUCCUCAUGCCAUUGUUCGUAUACACGCCGAAUGUUGUCCUUGGAGCAAUCAUCAUCGCUGCUGUCAUUGGCCUGAUCGAUCUCCCUGCUGCAUACAACAUCUGGAAGAUGGACAAGAUGGAUUUCCUCGUGUGUCUGUGCGCAUUUGCUGGUGUCAUCUUCAUCUCGGUCCAAGAAGGCCUUGCGAUUGCGGUUGGUAUAUCGAUAUUUAGGGUGUUGAUGCAAAUCACAAGGCCAAGGAUGAUGAUUCAGGGCAACAUUAAGGGAACAGAUAUUUACCGAAACCUCCAUCAGUACAAGGAAGCUCAAAGAGUUCCUGGGUUCUUGAUAUUGACAAUUGAGGCCCCCAUAAACUUUGCAAACACCAACUAUCUGAAUGAAAGGACUAAAAGAUGGAUAGAGGAUGAAAGUUCUUCAGGGAAUAAACAAACUGAACUCCGUGUCAUAAUCUUGGAUCUAUCAGCUGUCCCUGCAAUUGACACAAGUGGCAUAGCAUUCCUCAUUGACCUAAAGAAGUCAAUAGAGAAACAUGGCCUAGAGCUUGUACUUGUGAAUCCAACUGGAGAGGUCAUGGAGAAAAUACAACGAGCGAAUGACGCGCACAAUCAUUUCAGGCCGGACUGCCUGUAUUUGACCACCGGGGAAGCAAUCGCUUCACUUUCUGGAUUUGCCAAGAUGGCAACACCUUAG
This 2031-nucleotide ribosomal RNA is filed under the name Triticum aestivum (bread wheat). RNAcentral's name for it is "partial small subunit ribosomal RNA". The record is from RNAcentral. Lineage: Eukaryota; Viridiplantae; Streptophyta; Magnoliopsida; Poales; Poaceae.